CCUACGGGGGGCUGCAGUGGGGAAUAUUGGACAAUGGGGGGAACCCUGAUCCAGCCAUGCCGCGUGUGUGAAGAAGGCCCUCGGGUUGUAAAGCACUUUCAGUGAGGAAGAACGCCUGGUGGUUAAUACCCAUCAGGAAAGACAUCACUCACAGAAGAAGCACCGGCUAACUCCGUGCCAGCAGCCGCGGUAAUACGGAGGGUGCGAGCGUUAAUCGGAAUUACUGGGCGUAAAGCGCGCGUAGGUGGCUUGAUAAGCCGGUUGUGAAAGCCCCGGGCUCAACCUGGGAACGGCAUCCGGAACUGUCAGGCUAGAGUGCAGGAGAGGAAGGUAGAAUUCGCGGUGUAGCGGUGAAAUGCGUAGAGAUCGGGAGGAAUACCAGUGGCGAAGGCGGCCUUCUGGACUGACACUGACACUGAGGUGCGAAAGCGUGGGUAGCAAACAGGAUUAGAUACCCCAGUAGUC
Molecule: ribosomal RNA, 465 nt
Filed under: Vreelandella stevensii
Lineage: Bacteria; Pseudomonadati; Pseudomonadota; Gammaproteobacteria; Oceanospirillales; Halomonadaceae
Description: partial 16S ribosomal RNA
Rfam family: Bacterial small subunit ribosomal RNA
Source: RNAcentral